Molecule: ribosomal RNA, 378 nt
Filed under: uncultured eukaryote
Lineage: Eukaryota
Description: partial 18S ribosomal RNA
Rfam family: Eukaryotic small subunit ribosomal RNA
Source: RNAcentral
CAAUAGCGUAUAUUUAAGUUGUUGCAGUUAAAAAGCUCGUAGUUGGAUUUCGGAUGGGACUUGCCGGUCCGUCGUUUCGAUGUGCACUGGCCAGUCCUAUCUUGUUGUCGGGGACUAGCUCCUGGGCUUCACUGUCCGGGACUAGGAGCUGACGAGGUUACUUUGAGUAAAUUAGAGUGUUCAAAGCAAGCCUACGCUCUGAAUACAUUAGCAUGGAAUAACACGAUAGGACUCUGGCUUAUCUUGUUGGUCUGUGAGACCAGAGUAAUGAUUAAGAGGGACGGUCGGGGGCAUUCGUAUUUCAUUGUCAGAGGUGAAAUUCUUGGAUUUAUGAAAGACGAACUUCUGCGAAAGCAUUUGUCAAGGAUGUUUUCAUUA